This 28-nucleotide non-coding RNA is filed under the name Homo sapiens (human). Lineage: Eukaryota; Metazoa; Chordata; Mammalia; Primates; Hominidae. The record is from RNAcentral.
UGGGAAAAUUCUGGUGGGUAUUUGGACC